Solea senegalensis (Senegalese sole) is the source of this 438-nucleotide long non-coding RNA. RefSeq lists it as uncharacterized. NCBI's taxonomy places the organism in Eukaryota, Metazoa, Chordata, Actinopteri, Pleuronectiformes, Soleidae. The record is from RefSeq and is a predicted model, not a curated record. The transcript is spliced from 3 exons.
CGAGUGAGCGACGGAGCCGUGGCUGUUGAACGCUCGACACUCGUACUCGCCGUCGUCGCUCUGUGUGAUGCUGUCGAAGCUGAGCCAGCGGUCAGAGUUCUCCAGCUGUCCACUCGUCUCCUCCAGGCUGCUGUCCUUCUUCUUCCACUCCACCUUUGGAGUGGGACUGGAGGACACAGAGACAGAAAUCAGGACAACAUCACCAUUUAUCGCCAUGGGGACGGAGAAUUAGAGGAGUCUCAGGGGAAGAAGAAGAAAGCCCAUAAUUAGAGGGGGUACCCUGAUCACCUGAUCACCUGCACUGUAUGUAUAAAUGUUGUAGUUGACGAUGGGUCAUUAACCUGGUUAACUUGUUUAAUUCCAGUUCAGUUUCAUCAGUUACAUUUGUGUCAAUAUACCAGCUGCUCUGAGGCGGUGGGCGGAGCCUGUUGUGACAGG